GACGAACGCUGGCGGCGUGCUUAACACAUGCAAGUAGGACGCAGAUGCGAACGGGGGAGUAACGCGUCGGUAACUAGAUAUUAGAGGGGGAUAACUAUUGGAAACGAUAGCUAAUACCGCAUACUAGUAGAUGGACCUGAGUUGUAUUGGCUAGUAGUGUGGGUAAUGGCCUACCUAGGCAACGAUACAUAGCCUCCCUUAGAAGGUGAACGGCCACACUGGGACUGGGACAACGGCCAGACUCCCUCGGGAAGCAGCAGUAGGGAAACUUCGGCAAUUGGGGGAACCCUGACCGAGCAACGCCGCGUGGGUGAAGAAGGUUUUCCGAUCGUAAAGCUCUGUUGUUAAGGGAGCGGUACUUAACCAGAAAGGGACGGCUAACUACGUGCCAGCAGCCGCGGUAAUUC
Molecule: ribosomal RNA, 407 nt
Filed under: uncultured bacterium
Lineage: Bacteria
Description: partial 16S ribosomal RNA
Rfam family: Bacterial small subunit ribosomal RNA
Source: RNAcentral